Molecule: ribosomal RNA, 253 nt
Filed under: uncultured bacterium
Lineage: Bacteria
Description: partial 16S ribosomal RNA
Rfam family: Bacterial small subunit ribosomal RNA
Source: RNAcentral
UACGUAGGGGGCAAACGUUACUCGGAAUUACUGGGCGUAAAGGGUGUGUAGGCGGCCGAGCAAGUCAAGGAUGAAAUCCCGUGGCUCAACUGCGGAAUGGUCCUUGAAACUGCUUGGCUUGAGGAUAGUGGAGGAGAAUGGAAUUCCCGGUGGAGCGGUGAAAUGCGUUGAUAUCGGGAGGCACACCCGAGGCGUAAGCGAUUCUCUAAGCUAUUCCUGACGCUGAAACACGAAAGCUAGGGGAGCGAACGGG